CUUCUCUCAAGAUCAGACCUGGAGAGUUUCCAGUACACUACCAGUCUUGGCUAUGGGAGGAAGAGUCAAGCAGAGGCCUAUCUAUUCCAUUCUUAGCUUGGCCAGUGGUUAGUGAGUGGAAGGCAAUCUGCUACAAGU
Ornithorhynchus anatinus (platypus) is the source of this 138-nucleotide non-coding RNA. The record is from Rfam. NCBI's taxonomy places the organism in Eukaryota, Metazoa, Chordata, Mammalia, Monotremata, Ornithorhynchidae.